GGAAGAUAGGACGUAGUGGUACGUAACUGGUCUUGAAAACCAGCCCGCUGUAGAGAUACGGUGAUGGUUCGACUCCAUUAUCUUCUGCCA
RNAcentral lists this transfer RNA (90 nucleotides) under Salmonella phage S126. Its description in RNAcentral is "tRNA-Ser". It matches the Rfam family "tRNA". Rfam says of the family: Transfer RNA (tRNA) molecules are approximately 80 nucleotides in length. Lineage: Duplodnaviria; Heunggongvirae; Uroviricota; Caudoviricetes; Demerecviridae. The record is from RNAcentral.